Molecule: long non-coding RNA, 7978 nt
Filed under: Pelobates cultripes (western spadefoot toad)
Lineage: Eukaryota; Metazoa; Chordata; Amphibia; Anura; Pelobatidae
Source: RNAcentral
CCGCUGUGCCAGUGUCCGCUGCCGGGGGAUUGGGGGGCCCCGGGCCCGGUGUGGGGGGGUCUCAGCCAUCGGGUUCCUGGCUCCGGCCCCGGCCGCCAUUUUGUGACGGAGUACAGAGCUCGGGCCCCUGGGAGCCCAUGUGACUGGCCCUCGGCUGGGAGAGGAGCUGCCCCCGGCCCCGGUAUAGAGGGCUGGGGGCGGGGAGACUGCUCCCUGCUCAGGUGGGUACCCUGACUGUCCUACUUACUGUAUGGGGCCCCUGGGGGCCACUGACUGUCCUACUUACUGUAUGGGGCCCCUGGGGGCCACUGACUGUCCUGCUUACUGUAUGGGGCCCCUGGGGGCCACUGACUGUCCUGCUUACUGUAUGGGGCCCCUGGGGGCCACUGACUGUCCUACUUACUGUAUGGGGCCCCUGGGGGCCACUGACUGUCCUACUUACUGUAUGGGGCCACUGACUGUCCUACUUACUGUAUGGGGGCCCCUGACUGUCCUACUUACUGUAUGGGGGCCACCGACUGUCCUACUUACUGUAUGGGGGCCACUGACUGUCCUACUUACUGUAUGGGGCCCCUGGGGGCGACAGACUGUCCUACUUACUAUAUGGGGCCCCUGGGGGCCACUGUCCUACUUACUGUAUGGGCCCCCUGGGGGCCACUGACUGUCCUACUUACUGUAUGAGGCCCCUGACUGUCCUACUUACUGUAUGGGGCCACUGGUGGCCCCUUACUGUCCUACUUACUGUAUGAGACCCCUGGCUGCCCCUAACUGUCCUUACUGUAUGGGGCCCCUGACUGUCCCACUUACUGUAUGAGACAGCUGGGGGCCCCUGACUGUCCCACUUACUGUAUGAGACAGCUGGGGGCCCCUGACUGUCCCACUUACUGUAUGAGACAGCUGGGGGCCCCUGACUGUCCCACUUACAGUAUGAGACAGCUGGGGGCCCCUGACUGUCCCACUUACUGUAUGAGACUGCUGGGGGCCCCUGACUGUCCUACUUACUGUAUGAGACCACUGGGGGGGCCCUGACUGUCCUACAUAUUGUAUGAGAUACUUGGGGGCCCAUGACUGUUCUACUUACUGUAUGAGAUACCUGGGGAGCCCCUGCCUGUCUUACUUACCGUAUGACAUACCUGGCGGGGCCCUGACUGUCCUACUUACCGUAUGAGAUACCUGGGGAGCCCCUUAGUGUCCUACUUACCGUAUGAGAUACCUGGGGAGCCCUUAGUGUCCUACUUACCGUAUGAGAUACCUGGGGAGCCCCUUAGUGUCUGUAUGAGAUACCUGGCGGGGCCCUGACUGUCCUACUUACUGUAUGAGAUACCUGGGGAGCCCCUUUGUGUCCUACUUACUAUAUGAGAGACCUGGCGGGCCCUGACUGUCCUACUUAGCACAUGAGGUACCUAGGGGUGACCUGACUGUCCUAUUUACUGUAUAAAACCACUGGGAGCCCCCUGAUUGUCCUACGUACUGUAUGAAACCCAUGAGGGUCCUCUACUGUCUUACUGUAUGAGGUACCUGGGGGCCCCUGAUUGUACUACUUACCAUAUGAGGUACUUGGGGGCCCCCCUGACUGUCCUACUUACUGUAUAAAACCCCUGGGGGGCCUCUGACUGUCCUACUUACUGUAUAAAACCCCUGGGGGGCCUCUGACUGUCCUACUUACUGUUUGAAACUCUCUGAGGCCCAUGAUUGAUCAUACUCCUUGCAUAUAACCAGUUGAGCGGCCCUGAAUGGCCUUAUUCACUGUAUAAACCUCCUAGGGGCCCCAAUUAAUUAUUCUCCUCAUUCUUACUGUAGUAUACCCCUAGGACCACAGACCACUGGGGCCCCUGAUUGGCCAUAUACACUAUAUUAGACUUUGAGGUUUCUAUUUAAGCUUUACUCUCCGUAUAGUACCCUUAGGAGCACAACAUCUGUACCCCAUAGAGCACUCCAUCAAAUUAUCUCUCACACCACACCGUGCACACCUUAGUUAAUCUUGCCCACUGCACUCUCUUACCAUUUUAGCUGUAUCUCCUCCCAGCAUUCCUGGUUACAUCAGCUGUACCUCUCUGUGCUCCCACAUUCAGUGAUGGCUAAGGGUAAUCGAUACCUACUAAUCUGAAGUCAUGCACAUGUCCCUGCAUUUUGCCCAUGUUGCACAGCAUCAUCUUCUUAUCGCUGAACCUCCUGACUUGGUGUCAUCAUGCCAGGGACCUCAUAUCUGCUGCCCAUUAACACCCUGGAUCCUACACUUUGUGUCCCCCUAGUUUGGCAAUAUUACCAUGUCCCAAACCUUACCAAGGCAGGAGCUGAUUGGGCAUCAUGAGAUAUCUAGCUCAAAACCUCUGUGGUCCAGAGGUCAGAAUUGCUGCAAUACACAGCAUGUAACUAUUUGUAUAUGCUGUGUAUAAGAUCUGCCCUACCACCUAUGUGUCAAAUCCGUACAUUGCAGAUCAGCUCAACGGCCACAAAUAACACAAACUAUCGUAAAGAAUACAAAUUUCAUCAUUGCUUUUAAUGAGUGAGCAAUGUCCCUUCUAAGAAUUAUGUUUAGCCAAACAAGUUUUUGAGAGCUCUGCACACCCCAUCCCUUUACUGCUUGCCUGCUUUGCUAUGUCUGUUUGACAGUGUGGGUUGCUAACUGGAUUACAUUAGACUAAUGGCAGCAUAGGACGUGCUAGUCUUUUGGAAGCUCAAAAUCCCCCACAAUUCAGGAUUAUUUACUAAACACAAAACAUAACAAAUUGAAAUCUGAAUAACAAAAUUGAGGCUCAAAUAGCCAAGCUUUGAAUUUAGCUGAAUUGGAGAAUUUUUCAACAUUAUAUUUUUGUGUAUGUUUCAAUUCGCUACAUUUACAUUUAGCGUAUAAAGACAAUUUACUUUUUUUUUGUAUAUCUGUGUCACUAAUAAGUCUUAAUGUCCUGUAGGGAUGCUGUGUGUUUAAAGUUAUUUUCAAGAAACAAACAGGACAUUUUUACCGCUACAUGGGUGAAGGGAGCGAGGACCUAUAUUCGCAGUACUUUUAUGGUGUUGACGGGUGCUUUUGAAGAGCUAGUAUGAUUAGCCUGUUUCUAUUGUUUGAUCUCGGAUUAUUUAGCAAUAUCACCCACCCAGCCACUAGUUACUUGUUACCGGUUUUCCACACAUUGGUACAGAGUGAGCGUUUGUUUAUAGAGUAACAAUAAAUUAAUGUUUUGAAGUGUUUAUUGACCACAUCAUGAAUGUGUCUGUUCAUUUCUCUGAUUUUGUAUUUAUAUAGAUCCCAACGUGCUCCAUACAUUGUCAUUUAUUUUACAUUUACAGGUACAUUACAUGGACUUAAUAUCCAGUUUUGAGUUCUUGCUUUGGAUUAGUCCUGUACCUUCAGAUCUCUGGAAUUGAUUAAUUCCGAGAGUCCUGUGUUUAUUACCUGCUGGAGGGAUCAGUUUAUUGUACUGCGUGUUUGUGAAGUUUGAGUGCACUGCUGUUUUUACUUAUCAAAGUGCUGUGUUUGAAUGCUGAAACAUGUUAUUUUUGAGUUGUGCAGUGCUUCCUCUUUCUGUGGGAGAGUUAAUAAAAAGAAACAUUUCAUGCAUGCAGUGUGAUUGCAAAAAAGAACAAUCGUGCAGAUAUUUCAACAUAGCCCAGAUUUCAUCCAAACAUGAGGUUUAGUGUAGUUGCAGUGUUUCCUAUGAGGUCAGUAAAAUGCUUCAAGCAUGAAAUAGUAAUGCAUUGAAACAUUACGAUUAAUUAAUAUGUAGAGUCGCACAGCAUUUAUGGUAAACCUGUUGUGCAUAGUAUUGUCGUACAGCCCCUUGUUACCUGAUAUCUCUCUGUCUAUCUCACUUGCCAAUUAUUUGCUGACAGUCUAUGUUAAUCCAUUCCAGAGAGACUUCCAUAGUCUACUUUCUGUCAGGAUAUUCUUUGUGUCUGUUCUCUAGAAUAAAACCUUAUUAGGUAAACGUGUUCCCUUCCAAUACAGAACCAACAUAGAUGGUUGGUUUAACAUACUGUUCUUCCUCUUGUUAUCCUGUGCGACACCUUUGCGGCAUUGUUUAGGGUGUUUUAGGCUGUCUCGGAAUCCACCGACCGGUUUUUCUGCCUCAGUCAGAGUCUGUGGUGUUUAAAUUGCCAACUGUACAGAUGUGAAAUCCGAAUAUUGGGGCAAACGGUUUAUUUGAAGAAAUUCUUGCGUUGGUUGCGGCCUGACUAUUUUUGCUUUAAUCUAACACUUGAAACACCAUAACCACUACAGUUGACUUGGCAUAUUCCUUUGUGGGAUUUCUUUUACAACUUGCUACAAUGAAUACUCCUUUUUUUUUUUUUUUUUUGCCAAACCAGGGUGAAAGUUCAACCUUUUUUUUGUUUUUUUAUAAGUUACAUUGUCAUUACAUACCUACUAUAUGCCCUAAAAUCAGUUAUUUAAGAAACCCCUAAAGCAUUUCAAAUUACUGAAAUGGUUCACGGGUUAACUGAGUGUCCCCUCUUUCUUACUUUGUCAAAGUGCUAAUUUCUAUUGAAAACGGUAAUUUUAUAAAUCUCUUUUGUUUUGCUCUACCGGCUGUCAAACUGCCAGGAGAAUUGUCUUCCUCACUUACCUUGAGUAGUUGGUAUUUAUUUUUACCCCAGGAAUGUUCCUUUUAGUCAGUUCACAUUAGUUGGAGUCUUUUUGAAGGAUUACUUUAUAUGCUUAAGUAUGCCUCAAUAUUUCUAUGACAAAUAAAGACAUUUUUAAAAUAUCUUUCUGCCUGUGGGUUUGUCCCUGAACAGCAUGAAAAUUGGGGAUCAUCAUAGCAUUUGUAGUUUCAAUGCGACUGGUGAGCUGCUUCUAUUUUCCCAGAUCACUGCAAAAACUACUAAUACACCAUAAGUGACAAUACAGCUGUAGGGACCAACUAUUACAUUACUGUCACCCCAGCUUCUAAAGUCGUUGUUUCAUCACACAGCGGCCGUUUAUUAAACAUUAAUAAGUGUCCACUACGAAUUUAGAAUGUUCUCUUUCAAGAACAAUUUAUGAUGGCCCUUUAGGGGAUAUAUGAGUAGCCUCUUCUAUGAUCAGAACCCUUUUAAAAUGAUCCAGGAAGUUGAAAGACAUGGAGCAGCUCUGGACUUUUUAGAGAUUUGAAGUAAUACAUGCAUAAAGGCAAACACUACCUAUAAAUCUUAGAAAAUAUGUCUUGCCAGGGUGUUUGAAAGUUUUGGAAGGUUUUUUUUUUGUUUAUAAAUAGCCUUCUGCUGCAAUCUUACAUAUUUUGAAAUUUGUGGUGACUUUUGGUAAACAGUUGUCCCUUUUUUCUUUUUUUACUUCAUAAAAAUGAAAACCUUUAAUUAAAAAUGAUACAUCAUGAAAUAUUUCCCAUUGCCUUUAACUAAGAAAGGAUUUUGAACUGACCAUUGCAUGAAUUUACCAAAGGAAAAGUGCAUUGAGACAUUAGUCAUUUACAGCUUUGUAGCCUCAUGUUCUAAAUCGAUUAGAAAUACUGACCGGUUAUAUAUUGCAGCCAUUAUCUGCAAGAAAGCAAUUUAAGCUUUAAGUAGUGGUUAUGGUGUGAGAAAUUUUUGAGCAGCUAGACAAAAUCCAAAUCUCUCACGGUACGCAAAGCUCAGCCCCUUGUCUGACACUCCGAUAACAUGAAAGUUGCACUUUUUGCGUUAUUUAUUCAAAGCUGUCUAAUUUUGGACAUUACUCAUUCUCUGGAAGCCCUGGGAUAAUUCACUUAGAGACUUUCAUUGCUGUUGGACUGCUUUAGAUCGAAAAAGGAAAACAAAAACCUUGCUAGGUUUGGAUAGCCCAUUGCUCACAGCUGGUCAUUGUUGCCCAAGGUUAGACAAUACAGAAGUGAAAUCAGCGUGGUACGGAAACCCAAGUUUUUGUUUGUCAUCCAGCUUAAAAUGAUUUGACAAAAUAUUUGUGACCCAAAGGUUCCUUGCUCUAUCACUGCCACAAUAAAAGCUGGAAUUGUUAUGUUGGUUUGUGUGCCUUUUAAAAUUGCUACUUUUUGUUUGUUUAUUUUAGAAGUAACAAUAGUGGUCUGUAGAAAGAAAGGUCUGUGUGUUUCGAUGCCAUCUCCCCGUAGUGUAAAUCUGCACCUGAUCUGCCAGCAUUUUUAGUCUUCCCCAUACUUUCUCAUUUACUAUAUACUCUUUCAAUAAUAUCUUAUUUACUUGCUAGGAAAGGGAAGUGACCACUCUGGUUUUUCUCCCCUCCUGCUUAGGACAACAAAUCUCCACUUUAUUAAGCGUUAUGAUUACAUACAAGUAGGGCUUAUUUACUCAGCUGUUUAUUAUGGCAGAUUGACAAUGAAGUUUCAAGUGUUCAGUGAAAUGGCUUUACGAUUGCAGAAAAUUUAAGAUGUUUGUAAGUGGGCUAUAAUGUACAAUUCAUACAAUAAACACAAUAGUAUUGGCUUAACCAGUAUAUUUUUUUUGUUUUGUUUUUUUUCCCUUGCAUAGCAGGUUUUUCUUUUGGAUGGAAAACUUAAUAUUGUUUUAUUAAGCUGAAGUGGUCUGGGUGCCUAGAGUGCUCCUUUAAGUAGGGGGGCCACUAAAAGAGAUGGGAGAAGGGAGGUUUUUCAUAUUAGAUUAAUUAAAUUCAUUUAAAAAGUCUAAUAUUAAUACAAUUUUAGGAAAAAAACUUUUUUUAAAUGAUUUGGGGGAAAAAAGUCAUAUAUGGUUUUAGGCCAAGGGCAUCCUGAAUUUUCGGUUUCGGCCCAGAAUUUUCAUUUCGGUGCAUCCCUACCAUUUUUCCGGCUUCCCACACAUGAAAUUCAAGAAAUAACUGUUCACUUGCUGCCUAUUAUACCCCAUCCCAUGACAGGUGCCUGUCUAACAAUAUAAUCUGUUAUUUAAUUCACCUGUCAGUAUUUUUGGUGUCAUGGUUGAUCAGUUUACACUGAUAACUCUCAAACACGCUGAUCACUCAUGCUUUCUAAGAUGGUUAUAGUCCACCAGCAAUGGACACUAGUAUUGGACAUUCCCUGUAUUUUCUCUUGUUUUCAUCAGAAAUUAAAGGUUUUCUUUUUGGAAGAGCUUUUCCCAAAGAGGGAACUGUUUUUUAAAUGCAGUCUCUUUCAGCAGUUAAUUUAGUCUGCAGUGUCUUCUGCAGUCGGCACAUGGUGUUCUUACGUUUUAUUUUUAUACUGUGAGAGAAUUAAAAAGUCAUAUUAAAGGCAGUAACCUGAUCUGCCUGCUGAGUUAUUUAGUGUUCAUGGGAAACUGAGCAACAUGUUUUUUGGACUGAAGUAUAUAUAUUUUUUUUCUUCUGUCCUUUUUCAGUUGAUUGCUUUUUUCUGUUCUUGUAAUUCAGGUCUGACUGCUUUGCAGGUUUGUAUGCAUCACUUUUCCCUUUGCUCUCUAAUCUCACAAAAAAAACAAAAACCCCAAAACAAUUGCUGCAGAGGUCUUCUCUUGGAAUAGGCUAAGGGAUUGGUUAAGACAGAUCUUUAAAUAACAGCACAGACAAACACAAAGUUUUGCAGGCUCUCCUGAACAUAAUGUGUUCGUAUUUGAUGGCUAUGGCAUCUUGCUGCCCAGUUAAUAUUUAUUAAUAAUAUAUUCAUUACUAUUUAUUAGAUUUAACACUCAUUUCUGCAUCCACUACUACAUUACAGACCUUUUCUGCAUAUUACAAACUUUUUAUGUUCUUUAUACCAUGAGAUGAGAGGCUCUUUAGAAAUUUUUGGAAUGUAUUAACUGGUCCCAUGUGGAGCUUGUCAUGUUAAUGUUAUUUUGUACACCAUAGUAAGUUUAGCUGGGCUUACCACUUGUGAUGUCGCAGCCAAUCAGAGCCUUUGGUAUGAAGCGUAGCCACUGUGCAAGGAUGUAUGUUCUGAAUGUAUAGACUUUUAUUAAAAUGCUUUGUUACAUAGACUUUCUGAUGAGAGAACUACUCUGCUUUGGUCCUUUCUGGGGCAGAAACAUUGUGUUUAUUACCUUUGAUUACUGGUCCUUUGCUGAAGUUUAUGAAAGGUUACUAACACUUGAUCUUCUCUCUUUCAGGAAAAAUAACUCUUUG